AGCAGUCGCCGCGGUAAUACGGAGGGUGCAAGCGUUAAUCGGAAUUACUGGGCGUAAAGCGCACGCAGGCGGUCUGACAAGUCAGAUGUGAAAUCCCCGGGCUUAACCUGGGAACUGCAUUUGAAACUGUCAGGCUGGAGUCUUGUAGAGGGGGGUGGAAUUCCAGGUGUAGCGGUGAAAUGCGUAGAGAUCUGGAGGAAUACCGGUGGCGAAGGCGGCCCCUGGACAAAGACUGACGCUCAGGUGCGAAAGCGUGGGGAGCAAACAGGAUUAGAUACCCGAGUAGUCCCUGUCUCUUAUACA
This 303-nucleotide ribosomal RNA is filed under the name uncultured bacterium. RNAcentral's name for it is "partial 16S ribosomal RNA". It matches the Rfam family "Bacterial small subunit ribosomal RNA", at positions 507 to 808 of the family's 1533-position model. The record is from RNAcentral.